This 74-nucleotide transfer RNA is filed under the name Alphaproteobacteria bacterium. Its description in RNAcentral is "tRNA-His". It matches the Rfam family "tRNA". From Rfam's summary of the family: Transfer RNA (tRNA) molecules are approximately 80 nucleotides in length. RNAcentral also lists the same sequence under 1 other name. Lineage: Bacteria; Pseudomonadati; Pseudomonadota; Alphaproteobacteria. The record is from RNAcentral.
GUGGGUGUAGCUCAGUUGGUCAGAGCGCCGGAUUGUGGUUCCGGAGGUCGUGGGUUCAAGACCCAUCAUCCACC